CGCACGGGUGAGUAACACGUAUCCAACCUGCCGUCUACUCUUGGACAGCCUUCUGAAAGGAGGAUUAAUACAAGAUGGCAUCAUGAGUCCGCAUGUUCACAUGAUUAAAGGUAUUCCGGUAGACGAUGGGGAUGCGUUCCAUUAGAUAGUAGGCGGGGUAACGGCCCACCUAGUCUUCGAUGGAUAGGGGUUCUGAGAGGAAGGUCCCCCACAUUGGAACUGAGACACGGUCCAA
This 235-nucleotide ribosomal RNA is filed under the name uncultured bacterium. Its description in RNAcentral is "partial 16S ribosomal RNA". It matches the Rfam family "Bacterial small subunit ribosomal RNA", at positions 99 to 334 of the family's 1533-position model. The record is from RNAcentral.